This 37-nucleotide non-coding RNA is filed under the name Planktothrix serta PCC 8927. The record is from RNAcentral. Lineage: Bacteria; Bacillati; Cyanobacteriota; Cyanophyceae; Oscillatoriales; Microcoleaceae.
AUUGAAAUAAAUUAUAACCCCUAUCAGGGAUUGAAAC